This 869-nucleotide ribosomal RNA is filed under the name uncultured archaeon. Its description in RNAcentral is "bacterial SSU rRNA". It matches the Rfam family "Archaeal small subunit ribosomal RNA", at positions 125 to 995 of the family's 1478-position model. The record is from RNAcentral.
GAUAACCUCGGGAAACUGGGUAUAAUACCCGAUAGGUCUCGAUUGCUGGAAUGCAUCGAGAUUUAAAGCUCCGGCGCCUAAGGAUGGGUCUGCGGCCUAUCAGGUAGUAGUGGGUGUAGCGUACCUACUAGCCUACGACGGGUACGGGUUGUGAGAGCAAGAGCCCGGAGAUGGAUUCUGAGACACGAAUCCAGGCCCUACGGGGUGCAGCAGGCGCGAAAACUUUACAAUGCUGGCAACAGCGAUAAGGGAACCUCGAGUGCCAGGUUACAAAUCUGGCUGUCGAGAUGCCUAAAAAGCAUUUCAUAGCAAGGGCCGGGCAAGACCGGUGCCAGCCGCCGCGGUAACACCGGCGGCUCGAGUGGUAACCGUUAUUAUUGGGUCUAAAGGGUCUGUAGCCGGCCGGAUAAGUCUCUUGAGAAAUCUGGCAGCUUAACUGUCAGGCUUUCAGGAGAUACUGUCUGGCUCGAGGCCGGGAGAGGUGAGAGGUACUUCAGGGGUAGGGGUGAAAUCUUGUAAUCCUUGAAGGACCACCAGUGGCGAAGGCGUCUCACCAGAACGGACCUGACGGCAAGGGACGAAAGCUAGGGGCACGAACCGGAUUAGAUACCCGGGUAGUCCUAGCCGUAAACGAUACUCGCUAGGUGUCGGCCACGGUGCGACCGUUGUCGGUGCCGUCGGGAAGCCGUGAAGCGAGCCACCUGGGAAGUACGGCCGCAAGGCUGAAACUUAAAGGAAUUGGCGGGGGAGCACCACAACGGGUGGAGCUUGCGGUUUAAUUGGAUUCAACGCCGGAAAUCUUACCGGGACCGACAGCAAUAUGAAGGCCAGGCUGAAGACUUUGCCGGAUUAGCUGAGAGGUGGUGCAU